RNAcentral lists this ribosomal RNA (231 nucleotides) under uncultured bacterium. Its description in RNAcentral is "partial 16S ribosomal RNA". It matches the Rfam family "Bacterial small subunit ribosomal RNA", at positions 99 to 334 of the family's 1533-position model. The record is from RNAcentral.
CGCACGGGUGAGUAACGCGUAACUGACCUACCCCGAAGUCUGGAAUAACUGGUCGAAAGAUCAGCUAAUACCGGAUACCCAGAUGACUCAUGAGUCAUCUGGAAAGAUUUAUUGCUUUGGGAUGGGGUUACGUUCCAUCAGCUGGUUGGUAGGGUAAAGGCCUAUCAAGGCGACGACGGAUAGCCGGCCUGAGAGGGUGGCCGGCCACAGGGGCACUGAGACACGGGUCCC